AUUAAACGCUGGCGGCAUGCCUUACACAUGCAAGUCGAACGGCAGCACGGGGGCGAACCCUGGUGGGCGAGUGGCGGACGGGUGAGUAAUGCAUCGGAACGUGCCCUGAAGUGGGGGAGUAACGCAGCGAAAGCUACGCUAAUACCGCAUAUUCUGUGAGCAGGAAAGCAGGGGAGUCGCAAGACCUUGCGCUUUGGGAGCGGCCGAUGUCGGAUUAGCUAGUUGGUGGGGUAAAGGCCUACCAAGGCGACGAUCCGUAGCGGGUCUGAGAGGACGAUCCGCCACACUGGGACUGGGACACGGCCCAGACUCCUACGGGAGGCAGCAGUGGGGGAAUUUUGGACAAUGGGCGGAAGCCUGAUCCAGCCAUGCCGCGUGAGUGAAGAAGGCC
This 391-nucleotide ribosomal RNA is filed under the name uncultured bacterium. RNAcentral describes it as "bacterial SSU rRNA". It matches the Rfam family "Bacterial small subunit ribosomal RNA", at positions 29 to 416 of the family's 1533-position model. The record is from RNAcentral.